This 497-nucleotide ribosomal RNA is filed under the name uncultured bacterium. RNAcentral describes it as "partial 16S ribosomal RNA". It matches the Rfam family "Bacterial small subunit ribosomal RNA", at positions 28 to 507 of the family's 1533-position model. The record is from RNAcentral.
GAUGAACGCUGGCGGCGUGCCUAAUACAUGCAAGUCGAGCGAACGGACGAGAAGCUUGCUUCUCUGAUGUUAGCGGCGGACGGGUGAGUAACACGUGGAUAACCUACCUAUAAGACUGGGAUAACUUCGGGAAACCGGAGCUAAUACCGGAUAAUAUUAUGAACCGCAUGGUUCAAAAGUGAAAGACGGUCUUGCUGUCACUUAUAGAUGGAUCCGCGCUGCAUUAGCUAGUUGGUAAGGUAACGGCUUACCAAGGCAACGAUGCGUAGCCGACCUGAGAGGAUGAUCAGCCACACUGGAACUGAGACACGGUCCAGACUCCUACGGGAGGCAGCAGUGGGGAAUCUUCCGCAAUGGGCGAAAGCCUGACGGAGCAACGCCGCGUGUGUGAUGAAGGUCUUCGGAUCGUAAAGCUCUGUUAUUAGGGAAGAACAGAUGUGUAAGUAACUGUGCACAUCUUGACGGUACCUAAUGAGAAAGCAACGGCUAACUACGUG